RNAcentral lists this ribosomal RNA (538 nucleotides) under uncultured Hyphomicrobiales bacterium. Its description in RNAcentral is "bacterial SSU rRNA". It matches the Rfam family "Bacterial small subunit ribosomal RNA", at positions 56 to 643 of the family's 1533-position model. The record is from RNAcentral. Lineage: Bacteria; Pseudomonadati; Pseudomonadota; Alphaproteobacteria; Hyphomicrobiales.
UGCAGUCGAGCGGGCCCUUCGGGGUCAGCGGCAGACAGGUGAGUAACGCGUGGGAACGUGCCCUUCGGUUCGGAAUAACUCACGGAAACUUGAGCUAUUACCGGAUACACCCUUUUGGGGAAAGGUUUACUGCCAAAGAUCGGCCCGCGUCUGAUUAUCUAUUUGGUGAGGUUAUGGCUCACCAAGGCGACAAUAACUAUCUGGUCUGAGAGGAUGAUCACCCACACUGGGACUGAGACACGGCCCACACUCCUACGGGAGGCGGCACUGGGGAAUAUUGGACAAUGGGGGCAACCCUGAUCCCCCCCUGCCCCGUGAGUGAUGACAGCCUUAUGGUUGUAAAGCUCUUUUUUCCGGGACAAUAAUGACGGUACCGGAGGAAAAAGCCCCGGCUAACUUCUUGCCACCACCCGCGGUAAUACAAAAGGGGCUAGCGUUGCUCGGAAUCACUGGGCGUAAAGGGCGCGUAUGCGGCUGAUUUAUCUAGGGUGAAAGCCUGUGGCUCAACCACACAAUUGCCUUCUAUACUGGUUGGCUU